This is a small nuclear RNA of Echinops telfairi (small Madagascar hedgehog), 164 nucleotides long. Its record names the gene U1. It matches the Rfam family "U1 spliceosomal RNA". From Rfam's summary of the family: U1 is a small nuclear RNA (snRNA) component of the spliceosome (involved in pre-mRNA splicing). The record is from Ensembl. Lineage: Eukaryota; Metazoa; Chordata; Mammalia; Afrosoricida; Tenrecidae.
ACACUUCCCUGGCAGGGGAGAUACCUUGAUCACAAAGGUGGUUUUCUCAGGACGAGGCUUGUCCAUUGUACUCCGCAUGUGCUGACCCCUGCGAUUUUCCCAAAUGUGGGAAACUCGACUGCAUACUGUGUGGUAGUGGGGGACUGCGUUCCCGCUCUCCCCUG